UGACCAGCAACUCCUAUCCAUACCUCCUCGCGGUACUGGCCGGGGUACGAGUAAUCUUAGGGAAGAUCGGGUAACCAAACCCCGGCGGGAAAUUUGGUCGUAUCCUGACAGAGAAGG
This 117-nucleotide ribozyme is filed under the name Aedes aegypti (yellow fever mosquito). RNAcentral's name for it is "drz-agam-1 ribozyme". It matches the Rfam family "drz-agam-1 ribozyme". Lineage: Eukaryota; Metazoa; Arthropoda; Insecta; Diptera; Culicidae. The record is from Rfam by way of RNAcentral.